GACGAACGCUGGCGGCGUGCUUAACACAUGCAAGUCGAACGGAAAGGCCCUGCUUGCAGGGUACUCGAGUGGCGAACGGGUGAGUAACACGUGAGUGAUCUGCCCUGCACUUCGGGAUAAGCCUGGGAAACUGGGUCUAAUACCGGAUAGGAGCCAUUUUUAGUGUGAUGGUUGGAAAGUUUUUUCGGUGUAGGAUGAGCUCGCGGCCUAUCAGCUUGUUGGUGGGGUAAUGGCCUACCAAGGCGGCGACGGGUAGCCGGCCUGAGAGGGUGGACGGCCACAUUGGGACUGAGAUACGGCCCAGACUCCUACGGGAGGCAGCAGUGGGGAAUAUUGCACAAUGGGCGCAAGCCUGAUGCAGCGACGCCGCGUGGGGGAGGACGGCCUUCGGGUUGUAAACUCCUUUCGCUAGGGACGAAGCUUUUUGUGACGGUACCUAGAUAAGAAGCACCGGCUAACUACGUG
This 465-nucleotide ribosomal RNA is filed under the name uncultured bacterium. RNAcentral describes it as "partial 16S ribosomal RNA". It matches the Rfam family "Bacterial small subunit ribosomal RNA", at positions 28 to 507 of the family's 1533-position model. The record is from RNAcentral.